Molecule: ribosomal RNA, 225 nt
Filed under: uncultured Acinetobacter sp.
Lineage: Bacteria; Pseudomonadati; Pseudomonadota; Gammaproteobacteria; Moraxellales; Moraxellaceae
Description: partial 16S ribosomal RNA
Rfam family: Bacterial small subunit ribosomal RNA
Source: RNAcentral
CGCGUAGGCGGCCAAUUAAGUCAAAUGUGAAAUCCCCGAGCUUAACUUGGGAAUUGCAUUCGAUACUGGGAAGCUAGAGUAUGGGAGAGGAUGGUAGAAUUCCAGGUGUAGCGGUGAAAUGCGUAGAGAUCUGGAGGAAUACCGAUGGCGAAGGCAGCCAUCUGGCCUAAUACUGACGCUGAGGUACGAAAGCAUGGGGAGCAAACAGGAUUAGAUACCCCAGUA